AAUGAUCAUAUUAGGCUGAUCCUUUUGUUGACAAAUGCCCAUAUUAUACCUAUAAUGGAAGGAUGAGAAGCCAUUAGUGAGAUACCACUUUGGGAAUAGUUAGAAUUCUAACCUUGUGUCAAGACUUAUAGGUUGGGGACACUCUCAUGCUGUCAAUUUGCAUGGGGUGUAGAUCUCCCUAAAAAUAAUAGAGGCAUGCAAAUGUUUCCUUAUAAGGCAGAAAAGAGUUUAACUACAAGACCCACUCGUCGAGUAGGGACAGAAGUCAACCUUAUUGAUCUGACGAUGUAGAAUGAAAGGGGUCAUCGCUCAACGGAUAAAAGUUAUCCUGGGGAUAUUGGGUUAACCUUCCACUAAUAACUCACAUUGACAAUAAGGUUUGAUACCUUAAUCUUGGCUCUUUUCCACCUGAGGUUGUAGUAUAUUGCAGAGGUUGGGUUGUUUUCCUAUUAAAGUGGUACGUGAGUUGGGUUUAGAAUAUUGUGAGACAAUUCGAUC
This is a ribosomal RNA of Vigna angularis (adzuki bean), 498 nucleotides long. It matches the Rfam family "Bacterial large subunit ribosomal RNA", at positions 2084 to 2636 of the family's 2925-position model. The record is from Rfam. Lineage: Eukaryota; Viridiplantae; Streptophyta; Magnoliopsida; Fabales; Fabaceae.